UACGGGGGGGGCAAGCGUUGUUCGGAUUUACUGGGCGUAAAGGGCGCGUAGGCGGCCACCGCAAGUCAAUUGUGAAAUCUCCGGGCUUAACUCGGAAAGGUCAACUGAUACUGCGGGGCUAGAGUGCGGAAGGGGCAACUGGAAUUCUCGGUGUAGCGGUGAAAUGCGUAGAUAUCGAGAGGAACACCUGCGGCGAAGGCGGGUUGCUGGGCCGACACUGACGCUGAGGCGCGAAAGCCAGGGGAGCGAACGGG
RNAcentral lists this ribosomal RNA (254 nucleotides) under uncultured bacterium. Its description in RNAcentral is "partial 16S ribosomal RNA". It matches the Rfam family "Bacterial small subunit ribosomal RNA", at positions 524 to 776 of the family's 1533-position model. The record is from RNAcentral.